GGGCGCUUCUUCCAGCUGUGGAGGCACUAACAAUGGACGCCCAGAAAGAUGUUCAACCACCAAAGCAGCAGCCAAUGAUAUAUAUUUGUGGAGAGUGUCACACGGAAAAUGAGAUAAAGUCCAGGAAUCCAAUCAGAUGCAGAGGAUGUGGAUACAGGAUACUGUACAAGAAAAGGACUAAAAGAUUGGUGGGUUUUGAUGCUUGA
Mus pahari (shrew mouse) is the source of this 206-nucleotide RNA transcript. It is a transcript of the gene named DNA-directed RNA polymerases I, II, and III subunit RPABC4 pseudogene, with no coding region annotated. NCBI's taxonomy places the organism in Eukaryota, Metazoa, Chordata, Mammalia, Rodentia, Muridae. The record is from RefSeq and is a predicted model, not a curated record. The transcript has a single exon.